UACGUAGGGUGCGAGCGUUAAUCGGAAUUACUGGGCGUAAAGCGUGCGCAGGCGGUGAUGUAAGACAGGUGUGAAAUCCCCGGGCUUAACCUGGGAACUGCAUCUGUGACUGCAUCGCUGGAGUGCGGCAGAGGGGGAUGGAAUUCCGCGUGUAGCAGUGAAAUGCGUAGAUAUGCGGAGGAACACCGAUGGCGAAGGCAAUCCCCUGGGCCUGCACUGACGCUCAUGCACGAAAGCGUGGGGAGCAAACAGG
Molecule: ribosomal RNA, 253 nt
Filed under: uncultured bacterium
Lineage: Bacteria
Description: partial 16S ribosomal RNA
Rfam family: Bacterial small subunit ribosomal RNA
Source: RNAcentral